GAUGAACGCUGGCGGCGUGCCUAAUACAUGCAAGUCGAGCGAACGGACGAGAAGCUUGCUUCUCUGAUGUUAGCGGCGGACGGGUGAGUAACACGUGGAUAACCUAUCUAUAAGACUGGGAUAACUUCGGGAAACCGGAGCUAAUACCGGAUAAUAUUUUGAACCGCAUGGUUCAAAAGUGUAAGACGGUCUUGCUGUCACUUAUAGAUGGAUCCGCGCUGCGUUAGCUAGUUGGUAAGGUAACGGCUUACCAAGGCGACGAUGCAUAGCCGACCUGAGAGGGUGAUCGGCCACACUGGAACUGAGACACGGUCCAGACUCCUACGGGAGGCAGCAGUAGGGAAUCUUCCGCAAUGGGCGAAAGCCUGACGGAGCAACGCCGCGUGAGUGAUGAAGGUCUUCGGAUCGUAAAACUCUGUUAUUAGGGAAGAACAUAUGUGUAAGUAACUGUGCACAUCUUGACGGUACCUAAUCAGAAAGCCACGGCUAACUACGUG
Molecule: ribosomal RNA, 497 nt
Filed under: uncultured bacterium
Lineage: Bacteria
Description: partial 16S ribosomal RNA
Rfam family: Bacterial small subunit ribosomal RNA
Source: RNAcentral